Molecule: ribosomal RNA, 468 nt
Filed under: uncultured bacterium
Lineage: Bacteria
Description: partial 16S ribosomal RNA
Rfam family: Bacterial small subunit ribosomal RNA
Source: RNAcentral
GACGAACGCUGGCGGCGUGCUUAACACAUGCAAGUCGAACGGAAAGGCCCUGCUUUUGUGGGGUUCUCGCGUGGCGAACGUGUGAGUAACACAUGAGUAACCUUCCCUUGACUUUAUGAUAACUUCAGGAAACUGGGGCUAAUACCUGCUAGCAGCUCCUGCUGCAUGGUGGUGUUUGGAAAUUUUCGGCGGUUGGGGGUGGACUCGCGGCUUAUCAGCUGGUUGGUUGGGUAGUGGCUUACCAAGGCUUUGGCGGCUAGCCGGCCUGAGAGGGUGACCGGCCACAUUGGGACUGAGAUACGGCCCAGAGUGCUACGGGAGGCAGCAGUGGGGAAUCUUGCACAAUGGGCGGAAGCCUGAUGCAGCAACGUUGCGUGCGGGAUGACGGCUUUCGGGGUGGAAACCGCUUUAGCCUGUGACGAAGCGUGAGUGACGGUAAUGGGUAAAGAAGCACCGGCUAACUACGUG